AGUCGAGGGGUAUUGUUCUUCGGAAUGAGAGACCGGCGCACGGGUGCGUAACGCGUAUGCAAUCUACCUUUCACAGAGGGAUAGCCCAGAGAAAUUUGGAUUAAUACCUCAUAGUAUAACACAACCGCAUGGUUGAGUUAUUAAAGUCACAACGGUGAAAGAUGAGCAUGCGUCCCAUUAGCUUGUUGGUAAGGUAACGGCUUACCAAGGCAACGAUGGGUAGGGGUCCUGAGAGGGAGAUCCCCCACACUGGUACUGAGACACGGACCAGACUCCUACGGGAGGCAGCAGUGAGGAAUAUUGGACAAUGGGCGCAAGCCUGAUCCAGCCAUGCCGCGUGCAGGAUGACGGUCCUAUGGAUUGUAAACUGCUUUUGCACAGGAAGAAACACUCGGACGUGUCCGAGCUUGACGGUACUGUGAGAAUAAGGAUCGGCUAACUCCGUGCCAGCAGCCGCGGUAAUACGGAGGAUCCAAGCGUUAUCCGGAAUCAUUGGGUUUAAAGGGUCCGUAGGCGGUUUGGUAAGUCAGUGGUGAAAGCCCAUCGCUCAACGGUGGAACGGCCAUUGAUACUGCUAGACUUGAAUUAUUAGGAAGUAACUAGAAUAUGUAGUGUAGCGGUGAAAUGCUUAGAGAUUACAUGGAAUACCAAUUGCGAAGGCAGGUUACUACUAAUGGAUUGACGCUGAUGGACGAAAGCGUGGGUAGCGAACAGGAUUAGAUACCCUGGUAG
This 732-nucleotide ribosomal RNA is filed under the name uncultured Bacteroidota bacterium. Its description in RNAcentral is "bacterial SSU rRNA". It matches the Rfam family "Bacterial small subunit ribosomal RNA", at positions 60 to 793 of the family's 1533-position model. Lineage: Bacteria; Pseudomonadati; Bacteroidota. The record is from RNAcentral.